Molecule: long non-coding RNA, 1177 nt
Filed under: Equus caballus (horse)
Lineage: Eukaryota; Metazoa; Chordata; Mammalia; Perissodactyla; Equidae
Description: lncRNA (ENSECAG00000058850.1)
Source: RNAcentral
GCAGGUGUGAUUAAGUUAAGGAUCUUGAGAUGGAAAGAGCCUGGGUUAUCCAGGUGGGCCCCAUAUAAUCACAAGCGUCCUGAUAAGAGAGAGACAAGAGGGUCAAAGUCAAAAAAAGGAGACCAUAUGACAAUGGAAGCAGAGGGAAGCAGAGUCAGAGAGAGAAGAUGCUAUGCUGUGGCUUGGAAGAUGGUGGAAGGAGCCACCAGCCAAAGACUGAGGGCAGCCACUAGAAGAUGGAAAAGGCAAGGAAUAGAUUCUUUCCUGAAACCUUCAGAAGAAAUGCAGCACUACUGACACCUUGAUUUUAGACUUCUGACCUCCAGCACUAUAGCUGACUAAAUGAUGGAGCUGGAUGGAGCUGAAUGGAGCUGAAGAACACAAGCAGAAUUGAUCCCAGGCAUUCCGAAGCCUGCCCUGGAGACUAACAAAACAAAACGAAACAAAAUAAGUGAAGGGGAAGGAGUGGAGGCUGGUGGAAGAAGUGGCAACAUUUAGACCUUAAUACUCAUGUGACCUCACUGCCUGGACUUGUGAAGCCUGAGGGUAUUUUAAUUUUAUAAGUAGUACGUAAUUUAAUAAGAAACAUACAGCAGGAUACACCCUUUGUACUACAACUACUGGAUUGCUUUGGCACAGCAAAAAUGCUCUGACACUUUACUUCAGAUUUAAUUCAAUUAAGAAACUGAGUUUCACACAGAAAGAAGGAGAGUUCCUAGCUGCUGGCGAAUCUAUUUAGUAGGAAGAUUAGCCCUGAGCUAACUGCUGCCAAUCCUCCUCUUUUUGAUGAGGAAGACCGGCCCUGAGCCAACAUCCAUGCCUAUCCUCCUCUACCUCAUAUGUGGGACGCCUACCACAGCAUGGCGUGCCAAAUGUUGCCAUGUCCGCACCCAGGAUCCGAACCAGCGAACCCCGGGCCACCAAAGCGGAACCUGCACACUUAACUGCAGCACCACUGGGCCGGCCCCUGAAAUUGAGUUUUCAAAAUUAGCCAUAAGGUUCAGAGUGUGACCAGAGGAAUGAUGGCAAUUAGGAUAUUAAGCCCCCUGCCUAUCAUAUGUUCUCGAGUGCACACUGAAUUUUUCCUUUGCAGUAUUUAUCAUAAUUCCAGUUAAGUAAUGUUUCAUUUGUGAACUAUGCUUAAUAUCUGGCUCCCUUAUUAGACCAUAAGCUCCUA